RNAcentral lists this ribosomal RNA (1641 nucleotides) under Pseudoflavonifractor sp. An44. RNAcentral describes it as "bacterial LSU rRNA". It matches the Rfam family "Bacterial large subunit ribosomal RNA", at positions 1 to 1714 of the family's 2925-position model. Lineage: Bacteria; Bacillati; Bacillota; Clostridia; Eubacteriales; Oscillospiraceae. The record is from RNAcentral.
AGGUCAAGCUAAUAAGAGCGCAAGGGGAAUGCCUUGGCAUCAGGAGCCGAUGAAGGACGUGGCAAGCUGCGAUAAGCUUCGGGGAGGCGCAAACAGCCUUUGAUCCGGAGAUUUCCGAAUGGGGAAACCCGGCAGUGCAAUACACUGUCAUCCUGCGUUGAAUCAAAUAGGCGUAGGAAGGGAACCGCCUGAACUGAAACAUCUAAGUAGGGCGAGGAAGAGAAAUCAACCGAGAUUCCGCUAGUAGUGGCGAGCGAACGCGGAAGAGGGCAAACCGGUGGAUUUAUCCACCGGGGUUGUGGACAGUCAUUUAGCAGAAGUUAUCUAGGAGAACGGCAUGGGAAGGCCGGCCAUAGCGGGUGACAGCCCCGUAUCCGAAAGAGAAGGCUGUGAGACUGGAUCCAGAGUACCGCGGGACACGUGAAACCCCGUGGGAAGCUGGGGGGACCACCCUCCAACCCUAAAUACUACCUGAUGACCGAUAGUGGAGCAGUACCGUGAGGGAAAGGUGAAAAGGACCCCGAGAGGGGAGUGAAAUAGAACCUGAAACCUUGUGCUUACAAGCACUCAAAGCCCGUUAAAGGGUGAUGAGGUACCUUUUGUAGAAUGGUCCGGCGAGUUAUUGUUACUGGCAAGGUUAAGGUAUUCAGUACCGGAGCCGCAGCGAGAGCGAGUCUGAAUAGGGCGUAUGAAGUCAGUGGCAAUAGACCCGAAACCGGGUGACCUAUCCAUGAGCAGGUUGAAGUGGAGGUAAAACUCCAUGGAGGACCGAACGCACGCUCGUUGCAAUGAUCGGCGAUGACUUGUGGAUAGCGGUGAAAUUCCAAUCGAACCCGGAGAUAGCUGGUUCUCCCCGAAAUAGCUUUAGGGCUAGCGUUGUUUUAGAUUACUGGAGGUAGAGCACUGAAUGGGCUAGGGGGCGAUAAGCUUACUGAACCCUAUCAAACUUCGAAUGCCAGCUAAUUGAUGAACAGCAGUCAGACUGUGUGAGAUAAGUCUCAUAGUCAAAAGGGAAACAGCCCAGACCCACAGCUAAGGUCCCAAAUAUACGCUAAGUGGAAAACGAUGUGGAGUUGCGAAAACAACCAGGAUGUUGGCUUAGAAGCAGCCACUCAUUAAAAGAGUGCGUAAUAGCUCACUGGUCGAGUGACUCUGCGCGGAAAAUGUAACGGGGCUAAGCGUAUAACCGAAGCUUGGGCUUGUCGUAAGACAGGGGUAGGGGAGCGUCGAAUAUGGGGUGAAGUCGCAUCGGAAGGAGCGGUGGACUGUAUUCGAGUGAGAAUGCCGGAAUGAGUAGCGAGAAUCAUGUGGGAAUCAUGAUGGCCGAAAAUCUAAGGUUUCUUGGGGAAGGUUCGUCCGCCCAAGGUAAGCCGGGAGCUAAGGCGAGGCCGAAAGGCGUAGUCGAUGCACAUACGGUUGAAAUUCCGUAGCCACCGAACUUUAAGCACACUGACACUUUGGAAUAGCCGAACCCGGGCGUUGGUUGACCCGGGCGUAAGGGACCGAAAUAUAGUAGGGAAGUCGGCGAUGUCCAGAGGCGAGAAAAGGUGUGAGGUAUACUAAGGUGCCCGUACCGCAAACCGACACAGGUAGAUGAGGAGAGAAUCCUAAGGCCAACGGGAGAAGGGUUGUUAAGGAACU